This is a non-coding RNA of Potamilus streckersoni, 74 nucleotides long. The record is from the annotation of a GenBank genome assembly. Lineage: Eukaryota; Metazoa; Mollusca; Bivalvia; Unionida; Unionidae.
UCUCUCGUGGCCUAGUAGUUGGGACGUCCGACUCGGAUACGGGAGGUCGUGGGUUCGAUACCCGGUCGAAACAU